This 200-nucleotide ribosomal RNA is filed under the name uncultured prokaryote. Its description in RNAcentral is "partial 16S ribosomal RNA". It matches the Rfam family "Bacterial small subunit ribosomal RNA", at positions 1184 to 1382 of the family's 1533-position model. The record is from RNAcentral.
GUCAAAUCAUCAUGCCCUUUAUGUCCUGGGCUACACACGUAAUACAAUGGCGCAGUAACAGAGGGAAGCGAAGGGGCAACCCGGAGCAAACCCCUAAAAGGCGUCUCAGUUCAGAUCGUGGGCUGCAACCCGCCCGCGUGAAGUCGGAAUUGCUAGUAAUCGCGGAUCAGCAAGCCGCGGUGAAUACGUUCCCGGGCCUU